AUGUAUGUAUAUGUUAAUAUUUUAUUGAAACCAUUGAUGCCCCUCUUUGCAGAACUCAAACUAACUGGAGUUAAGGACACACAAGUCUGCUUGUGUGAGGAGGUGGUUUUCUCAGCUUCUUCUGAAGAGAGGGAAAGAUCGUAUAAGAUGUUAAAAGCAAGAGACAUGGGAGAGCAUCAUUCCUUUGAGAUUUUAUGUAAGUUAUUUUUAGAAAAUAAAUUUUUCUGUUGUCUCCUGCCAGUUUACUUCACAUUUUGAUGCAACAACAGUGUGAUUACAUGCUCAUUUCAUUAAGACCAUUGAUGUCUGUGUUUUUUAUUGCAGAACUCAAACCAAGUUUGGAGUUGUCUGAUUUGGAGAGUCAUUAUUCUUGGUCUUCGCUCUUAGAGGUAAAGUUCACACAAAAAAAUCAUUUACUUGCCCUCAAGUCAUUCCAAACCUAUAAGACUUUUGUCUGUCUUUACAACAUAAAUUAAUAUAUUUUUAGUUUUCUCAUAAUAUUUGUUAAUCCAUUUAUAGUUUAGAUAAUCAGUAUUUUCAAGCUUCAUAAAUAUAGAG
RNAcentral lists this long non-coding RNA (558 nucleotides) under Carassius auratus (goldfish). Its description in RNAcentral is "lncRNA (ENSCARG00000026332.1)". Lineage: Eukaryota; Metazoa; Chordata; Actinopteri; Cypriniformes; Cyprinidae. The record is from RNAcentral.